This 467-nucleotide ribosomal RNA is filed under the name uncultured bacterium. Its description in RNAcentral is "partial 16S ribosomal RNA". It matches the Rfam family "Bacterial small subunit ribosomal RNA", at positions 28 to 507 of the family's 1533-position model. The record is from RNAcentral.
GACGAACGCUGGCGGCGUGCUUAACACAUGCAAGUCGAACGGAAAGGCCUCUUUCGGGGGGUACUCGAGUGGCGAACGGGUGAGUAACACGUGAGUAACCUGCCCUUGACUUUGGGAUAACUUCAGGAAACUGGGGCUAAUACCGGAUAGGAGCUCCUGCUGCAUGGUGGGGGUUGGAAAGUUUCGGCGGUUGGGGAUGGACUCGCGGCUUAUCAGCUUGUUGGUGGGGUAGUGGCUUACCAAGGCUUUGACGGGUAGCCGGGCUGAGAGGGUGACCGGCCACAUUGGGACUGAGAUUCGGCCCAGACUCCUACGGGAGGCAGCAGUGGGGAAUAUUGCACAAUGGGUGGAAGCCUGAUGCAGCAACGCCGUGUGCGGGAUGACGGCCUUCGGGUUGUAAACCGCUUUCGCUCAUGACGAAGCUUUGUGUGACGGUAGUGGGUAAAGAAGCACCGGCUAACUACGUG